Callithrix jacchus (white-tufted-ear marmoset) is the source of this 1271-nucleotide long non-coding RNA. NCBI's taxonomy places the organism in Eukaryota, Metazoa, Chordata, Mammalia, Primates, Cebidae. The record is from Ensembl.
CAGAGGAAGGAGUCCACAAAGGCACAAGUGCUCAAGACACUCAUCAUUCAGCCUCAUUGACUACCACUUUAUGCCUGCAACACAACAGGGUUAGAAUAGAGCCUUUUGAACGCAAAUUCAGGUUCCCAUACCAAUUAUAAACUGUGUUAUAAAACUCAGAUUUGAUAAGAGGAAAGUCGUGGUUAAUACACACAGUAUUAGAACUUCAGGGGGCUGGAGACUACCAAGAACAGACAGAUUCAUUCUGUUCUCUGCUCUGAUUAAAUAAUUUCUGCUCUGCUAUUCUCUCUCAAAUAUCUUCAUCCUGUUUCGAUUAAUAGAAAAAAUCUUUACAUCUUUGGAGAUUCAUUAAACCAAUUUGGUUGCUUCCUUCGCUGUCUCAAGAAUUCUAAGGAUUUAUUGUUUUCAAUUUUAAAAUGGUCAAUAGUACAACUGACACCUACCACUUAUUUGCUGGUCAGCAAUGAUACAGUCACCGUCCCUGUAACUCCAGUUCUUAGCCCAGUGUCUGGCAAACACUAGGCGCUUAAUAAAGGUUUAAUAGAUUGAUACAUGAAUCACCUCUUGGAUGGAAAUUACCUUAUGUAGGUGGACUAAUUUGAUCUUUUCUAAUCUCCCACCUUGUAAGAAGCAUCUUCCACCGGUAUCACAAUUGUCAUUUUCGGGUGAUCUCUGGGCUCUUCUUCCCACCUCCCCUGGCUCCAUCAGCCAGUCACUUCCUCCCUCCUGGGCUCUGUUCCUCGCUCUUCUCUAUCCUGGGGUCUGGAAUGGUCCCCAGUCCGCCGGGAGGCAGUAGGGUCCCAGUUCCUCCAGCCGUCCCCGGCGCUCCCCACAAGGUCUCCCCGACACCCCUUCCUCCAGGCACCCCGCGCCGCCCAGGGCCACGCCCUCCCCGUGGGCGAGAUCACCUGUCCCUCCUCCGCCGCCGCCUCCUCGGGUACCCUUUCGCCCCCCUCCUGCUCCCCUUCCUCCGCCGCCUCCCCCAAGCCCUCCCCUUCCCCGCCUCCUCCCACCCCUUGGUGUAUAUAGUAAAGGCCGGGCGCCGCACGCAGACACACACUCGCCCGGACACAGGCGCACACACGCUCACGCACAACCGGCAGCGGCGGCGGCGACAGCGGCUCGGUGACAGCGGCGACGGCGGCUCCCACCGCGGCGCACCCCCUUCAGGCGGCCGGCGGCGAGGCCAGACCCGAGAGUUCCCGCACCCGCGACCACCCCGCGGCUUCCUGGAGGCGGCGGCCGCGAUUCCAAGAGAGAUCCUUCCAUGA